RNAcentral lists this ribosomal RNA (584 nucleotides) under uncultured bacterium. Its description in RNAcentral is "partial 16S ribosomal RNA". It matches the Rfam family "Bacterial small subunit ribosomal RNA", at positions 355 to 939 of the family's 1533-position model. The record is from RNAcentral.
UGGGGAAUUUUGGACAAUGGGGGAAACCCUGAUCCAGCCAUCCCGCGUGUGCGAUGAAGGCCUUCGGGUUGUAAAGCACUUUUGGCAGGAAAGAAACGUCGCGGGUUAAUACCCCGCGAAACUGACGGUACCUGCAGAAUAAGCACCGGCUAACUACGUGCCAGCAGCCGCGGUAAUACGUAGGGUGCAAGCGUUAAUCGGAAUUACUGGGCGUAAAGCGUGCGCAGGCGGUUCGGAAAGAAAGAUGUGAAAUCCCAGAGCUUAACUUUGGAACUGCAUUUUUAACUACCGGGCUAGAGUGUGUCAGAGGGAGGUGGAAUUCCGCGUGUAGCAGUGAAAUGCGUAGAUAUGCGGAGGAACACCGAUGGCGAAGGCAGCCUCCUGGGAUAACACUGACGCUCAUGCACGAAAGCGUGGGGAGCAAACAGGAUUAGAUACCCUGGUAGUCCACGCCCUAAACGAUGUCAACUAGCUGUUGGGGCCUUCGGGCCUUGGUAGCGCAGCUAACGCGUAAGUUGACCGCCUGGGGAGUACGGUCGCAAGAUUAAAACUCAAUGAAUUGACGGGGUCAAAGCUGUUUCCUG